CUGCUGCCUUCCGUAGGAGUUUGGGCCGUGUCUCAGUCCCAAUGUGGCCGUUCACCCUCUCAGGCCGGCUACUGAUCGUUGCCUUGGUAGGCCAUUACCCCACCAACUAGCUAAUCAGACGCGGAACCAUCGUAUACCACCGAGUU
Molecule: ribosomal RNA, 146 nt
Filed under: uncultured bacterium
Lineage: Bacteria
Description: partial 16S ribosomal RNA
Source: RNAcentral